This 23-nucleotide unclassified non-coding RNA is filed under the name Mus musculus (house mouse). RNAcentral's name for it is "oocyte_clustered_small_RNA4001". The record is from RNAcentral. Lineage: Eukaryota; Metazoa; Chordata; Mammalia; Rodentia; Muridae.
GCAAGCUCCAGUGGGGUGGUGUG